AAUCAACGCUGGCGGCGUGCCUCAGACAUGCAAGUCGAACGCGAAAGUUCCCUUCGGGGAGCGAGUAGAGUGGCGCACGGGUGAGUAACACGUAGGUAAUCUACCUUUGGAUUGGGAAUAACACCGAGAAAUCGGUGCUAAUACCGAAUAAUGCAGCGGCACCUAAUGGUGACAGUUGUUAAAGCGGGGGAUCGCAAGACCUCGCGUCUAAAGAGGAGCCUGCGGCGGAUUAGCUAGUUGGUAAGGUAACGGCUUACCAAGGCGAUGAUCCGUAGCCGGCCUGAGAGGGCGGUCGGCCACACUGACACUGACAUACGGGUCAGACUCCUACGGGAGGCAGCAGUCGGGAAUUUUGGGCAAUGGGCGAAAGCCUGACCCAGCAACGCCGCGUGAAGGAUGAAAUCCCUCGGGAUGUAAACUUCGCAAGAACGGGAAGAAUAAGUCGGUGCUAACACCAUCGGCGAUGACGGUACUGUUUGUAAGCUCCGGCUAACUCCGUGC
RNAcentral lists this ribosomal RNA (501 nucleotides) under uncultured bacterium. RNAcentral describes it as "bacterial SSU rRNA". It matches the Rfam family "Bacterial small subunit ribosomal RNA", at positions 32 to 508 of the family's 1533-position model. The record is from RNAcentral.